CCUACGGGAGGCAGCAGUGAGGAAUAUUGGUCAAUGGGCGAGAUCCUGAACCAGCCAAGCAGCGUGAGGGAAGACGGCCCUAUGGGUUGUAAACCUCUUUUGUCGGAGAACAAAACCCGGGACGUGUCCCGGCCUGCGUGUAUCCGAAGAAAAAGCAUCGGCUAACUCCGUGCCAGCAGCCGCGGUAAUACGGAGGAUGCGAGCGUUAUCCGGAUUUAUUGGGGUUAAAGGGGGCGUAGGUGGUCCGUUAAGUCAGCGGGAAAAUUUGGGGGCUCAACCCCGUAGAGCCGUUGAAACUGGCAGCCUUGAGUUGGCGUGAGGUACGCGGAAUGCGCGGUGUAGCGGUGAAAUGCAUAGAUAUCGCGAAGAACUCCGAUUGCGAAGGCAGCGUACCG
Molecule: ribosomal RNA, 395 nt
Filed under: uncultured bacterium
Lineage: Bacteria
Description: partial 16S ribosomal RNA
Rfam family: Bacterial small subunit ribosomal RNA
Source: RNAcentral